AUUGAACGCUGGCGGCAGGCCUAACACAUGCAAGUCGAGCGGUAGAGAGAAGCUUGCUUCUCUUGAGAGCGGCGGACGGGUGAGUAAUGCCUAGGAAUCUGCCUGGUAGUGGGGGAUAACGUUCGGAAACGGACGCUAAUACCGCAUACGUCCUACGGGAGAAAGCAGGGGACCUUCGGGCCUUGCGCUAUCAGAUGAGCCUAGGUCGGAUUAGCUAGUUGGUGGGGUAAUGGCUCACCAAGGCGACGACCCGUAACUGGUCUGAGAGGAUGAUCAGUCACACUGGAACUGAGACACGGUCCAGACUCCUACGGGAGGCAGCAGUGGGGAAUAUUGGACAAUGGGCGAAAGCCUGAUCCAGCCAUGCCGCGUGUGUGAAGAAGGUCUUCGGAUUGUAAAGCACUUUAAGUUGGGAGGAAGGGUUGUAGAUUAAUACUCUGCAAUUUUGACGUUACCGACAGAAUAAGCACCGGCUAACUCUGUG
Molecule: ribosomal RNA, 484 nt
Filed under: uncultured bacterium
Lineage: Bacteria
Description: partial 16S ribosomal RNA
Rfam family: Bacterial small subunit ribosomal RNA
Source: RNAcentral